AUUGAACGCUGGCGGCAGGCCAAGCACAUGCAAGUCGAGCGGAUGAAGGGAGCUUGCUCCUGGAUUCAGCGGCGGACGGGUGAGUAAUGCCUAGGAAUCUGCCUGGUAGUGGGGGAUAACGUCCGGAAACGGGCGCUAAUACCGCAUACGUCCUGAGGGAGAAAGUGGGGGAUCUUCGGACCUCACGCUAUCAGAUGAGCCUAGGUCGGAUUAGCUAGUUGGUGGGGUAAAGGCCUACCAAGGCGACGAUCCGUAACUGGUCUGAGAGGAUGAUCAGUCACACUGGAACUGAGACACGGUCCAGACUCCUACGGGAGGCAGCAGUGGGGAAUAUUGGACAAUGGGCGAAAGCCUGAUCCAGCCAUGCCGCGUGUGUGAAGAAGGUCUUCGGAUUGUAAAGCACUUUAAGUUGGGAGGAAGGGCAGUAAGUUAAUACCUUGCUGUUUUGACGUUACCAACAGAAUAAGCACCGGCUAACUUCGUG
Molecule: ribosomal RNA, 484 nt
Filed under: uncultured bacterium
Lineage: Bacteria
Description: partial 16S ribosomal RNA
Rfam family: Bacterial small subunit ribosomal RNA
Source: RNAcentral